ACCUAAAGAGGACAGAACAUCAAGGGCAAGUUGAAAGGAUGAAUGUGAUGAAAGCAGGGACAAGAAUAGUGGAAUGCAAAAACAGGAAAUGCAUACUACUAGUACAAUGUCACAGGAUACCCUCUUAAAAGGCACAGCUAUAUACAGUUGCAGAUAACAUUUUAGAGUAUUAUUGGUAGAUAGAAGAUUGCUGAAACACAGGAGAGUGACAUCUAAUAAACUCUCAUAGACUCAAGCAAACUCUGGAAGAUAUGCCAAAAACAAUGUCUUACAGUGUUUAACAUUUUGGAAGAAAAAGAUUGCAACAGAUGAGGUUCAGUUGAGCGUCACCUGACAAAUUCCAUUGGAGAGUUGGAAGAAACCACACGGGCCAUCCAGUCCAGGCGAAGAAACGUGCUUAUCUUUAUCAAACCAACAUUCAUUGCACAAGAUUACAGUCAAGGAGGAACUGAAGCAUCAUAUUACACUAAACACAGACAGAUCAUCAUGGACUAAAUAUAUUUCGCUGUUCCACAGGCACUCAUGGGUGAGUAAAGAAGCCAGAUCCCACUCCAUGAGGAAAGCUACCCAAAUAACCCCAUGCUACACGUUCAGAACAAAGAGUCCUGGCAAUAUAAAUCCAAAACCAUGAGGAAAUUGCUUUGUGUUCCCUAAGCAACAAUUCAUCUCCUGGAUUUCCCCUGAGGAAUUAAAUUCCAUCUGCUUACGCUGAAGCUAGUUUAUGUAUGGUUAAAUCUAUGUAAUGAAAAGCGGAAUUUGGCAUA
This is a long non-coding RNA of Anolis carolinensis (green anole), 764 nucleotides long. RefSeq lists it as uncharacterized. NCBI's taxonomy places the organism in Eukaryota, Metazoa, Chordata, Lepidosauria, Squamata, Anolidae. The transcript is spliced from 3 exons. The record is from RefSeq and is a predicted model, not a curated record.